AAACAGUGCAUGUUUACAAAAAUGCGUACAUAUGAAGCUACACACAUUAAAUAUAUUAGAAGAGCCUCCUGUGGGGAAGAAGGUCAUGAGAGUGGGGAAUGGGGAUUAAAAAGGAAAUAAAAGGGGAAAAAAGACUAUUAAAAAACAUUUUUUUUAGCUGAUCUUAACCACAAUCCCAGGGAGCAGGGAGCCUGGUGGGCUGCCGUCUCUGGGGUCGCUCACGACUGAAGCGACUUAGCAGCAGCAGCAGCAGCAGCAACCACAAUUCUUAGCUGUUCCCCAUGGAGUGAAGCAUUUUUCCGAGGGCGAGAGGAAGGGAGGAAGGUACGCAUUUUUACUUAGGACAGUCCGGAGCGAUUUCUGACUGCUCAGAGCGCACAGGUGUAGACGACAGGAUGGAACCCUACAAUUAGCUAGAGAUGUUCUUAGUGAAGAGUGAUUCUGGAUACAUCGUGUGUCUGGGUGUGUUCCCAGUGACCACCCCACAAACCCUCCUUUAUCCGAGCGUGGCAUGAGUAGCACUGGAAGACUUUUGAAUGAAAAUCCUGCAUUGAAAUCGGAUUUGUCUUUUGAUGUGACAGUAGACAUGUCAGCUUUGGGAGCAGAAUCCGGAAACUGUCAACACUGAAUUUCCUUUCGCGUCUGCCCAACGCUGCUCCUAUCCAUAAGCGCCUGGGAAGGAACAAGCAGCAUCUCUGAGGCUCAGUUUCCUUAGCCCUAGAAUGAGGCGCUAAAACUGCUCUAUUCAUAAGGAAGUGCAUAGAGGACAGUAGCAAGCUACCCCAGCGUCAGGGCCCCGGGCUAACAGGGGCUGUCGCGCCUGGAGCUGCACAUUUUGGACAGUGCAAACAUGUGCAUCAUCACCAGAGCACGACGGGAUCACCCAGGCCUGCACCGCCGCGUGGAACUUUGUGACUUCGGGCAGCUCCUACCUUCUGAGCCUCCUUUCUUGCCUAUAAAACGGAGACAGCGGUGCCAGCCUCAUUGGCUCCGAUGACUGAAUUGACAAGAGUGACUCAGUGAGUCACCUGCACAGUGCCCGGAGCCUGGCAGGCCUUGGCAGUGCCAGCCCCCGUGUCUUGCACCUGGUUGCUGAGGCUUAGGGUGGUUACCAAGCCUUCCCUUCUCUCUCUGCGGCCCAGGCAGGUCUUGUCACAGGCCAUUUUGUGGCAGAGUGAGCCCCUACCCAGACUCUCCGGGAGGCGGCAUAGGAACAACAGAAGGAAAGGCAGGAGCAAAGACUGCUGCCCUGUUUUAUCCACCGGCUGCCACUCACUAUGGUGUGUCCCUCCAGGACCUAGCUUCAGACAGGGACUCCAGCGGAGAACUGGUGUAUCUGUAUACCCGUGUUCCUAGCAGCACUGCUUACAACACCCAAAAAGCAGAAACAACCCAAGUAUCCGUCAACAGUAUGUUGUGGCCCUUCCCCAAUUCUGGAGAAUCACCUUCCAAUCCUGUGGCAAAUCAUCCAGGCCCAUCUCCCAAUCCUGGGUCAAGACAGGUCAAUUACUUCAAAUUGGUAUAGAUAUCAAAGAACUCUUUGAAUUCUAAAAUAGGCUUUUAAAAUGUGUGACAAAGAUUCCACUUUGAUAGAAAGGGUUUUAGGAUUCCCAAAGCUUUCUGUUGCCUUGGAUGUCAAAAAUAAAGCCCAAAAGAACUCAGGAUAUCUAACUUAUGUCAUAAAAUAACUGUUUGGGGGAAUUAUGUGUAAAAUACCAAAUUAAUCUCACCUCACACAUUUGAGAUAAAGUUCCAGUUCCCUGGGGACAGGCAGGACAAAUAUUACCUGGCAAAGAUAUUAGAAGGGUUCAAGUC
Molecule: long non-coding RNA, 1815 nt
Organism: Bos taurus (domestic cattle)
Lineage: Eukaryota; Metazoa; Chordata; Mammalia; Artiodactyla; Bovidae
Source: Ensembl